CCAGACUCCUACGGGAGGCAGCAGUGAGGAAUAUUGGUUAAUGGGCGGGAGCCUGAACCAGCCAUGCCGCGUGAAGGCGAGUGCCCUACGGGCGUUAAACUUCUUUUGUGCGGGAGCAAUAAGGGCCACGCGUGGCCCGAUGAGAGUACCGCACGAAUAAGCAUCGGCUAACUCCGUGCCAGCAGCCGCGGUAAUACGGAGGAUGCGAGCGUUAUCCGGAUUUAUUGGGUUUAAAGGGUGCGCAGGCGGAGGUGCAAGUCAGCGGUCAAAUUGCGGGGCUCAACCCCGUACUGCCGUUGAAACUGCAUCCCUUGAGUGCGCGAGAAGUAUGCGGAAUGCGUGGUGUAGCGGUGAAAUGCAUAGAUAUCACGCAGAACCCCGAUUGCGAAGGCAGCAUACCGGCGCUCAACUGACGCUGAGGCACGAAAGUGCGGGUAUCGAACAGGAUUAGAUACCCGUGUACCC
Molecule: ribosomal RNA, 465 nt
Filed under: uncultured bacterium
Lineage: Bacteria
Description: bacterial SSU rRNA
Rfam family: Bacterial small subunit ribosomal RNA
Source: RNAcentral